Molecule: long non-coding RNA, 2234 nt
Organism: Pan paniscus (pygmy chimpanzee)
Lineage: Eukaryota; Metazoa; Chordata; Mammalia; Primates; Hominidae
Source: Ensembl
UCAACUUAUAGGAAAGGCAUGAUAAAGAGAUUAUCUCAUGUUUGAAUACCCUUUUCUUUAAUUUUUGGAUUAGCUCUCUUCCCCCACCAACUCGCAAUCUUUCUGUUCUAACCACAGGCACUUUUGGCAGCCAUGAAUUCUUAUUCUGGGCAACAGGAGUGGCUCCACAGAUGAUGAGUCUAUGGCCUGUUAUACAUGGAGCUCUUGCAAGCAAGUCCUGGUGACCACAAGGUGUCUUUGUCCAUUAUUGAGCAUCAUAAAUAUCCAGACGCACAGAUGCUUCCUGAUAUGUCCAUGAGUUUAAAGAUUGGACAUUACUUCGCCCAGCAAUCCUCGUUUUCAAACUUGCCAAGCCAGUCCUUGGAGAGACUAGGAAAUCCAGAGUUUCCUACAAGAAUGGGGAUUCCUUGGAAGAGAGUUUCACCUUGAAUCAAGAAAGAGGAAUCACAUACUUUCAAAGGAAAUUUCUCAUGAUCUCAAGAUCUCAAGAACCAGGGGCAGAAGGAAAAGCUGGGCUGACACAAUGGUGGUGGUCCUGUCUCCAUUCAAAAAGCUACCACUGCCUCUAGACCCUCUCAGGAUGGCAACAUUUCCUGAUUCCAAUCCUAAAAUAGGCAAAGUUGGGAGGGUGCAAACUUCUCCAUUCUGUGUCAGACAUGUCUUAGGGAAAACCCAAAUAUGAAUGACCAAAGAAAAGUAUGAGAAAAAAUUGAAAAUCUAUUCUAGGCUAUUCACAGUGUUUUGCUGGUAUCCUGGGAUCCACAUGCAUUUCAAGAAGACUGAAGUGUGCCAGGCCUGCAGGACAAUGAAGAGUGAAUGUCUUAGUCCUAGACUAUGGCCUGUCCAUUCAGGUUCAUGAUACAGAAUUGUCUUUAAAAGAUGACUUGCCAGAGUCAGACAUCAAUGAAGAGUACUACAUGCAGAAUAUAGGCGAGCAAUUAUGGACUCUGAUGGAACAUGGUCAGUUGGCCUGCUGGAGAGAGUCACAUAUACCAGUGACAUGCUGCUCAAACUGGCGCAGACCACAUGCUACUACCAAAGGAAUACGCACAUUUGCUCCUUCUGAGUGAAAGGAGAAUGUGAGGGAGAAGAGGAGGGUCCAUACAGACAUGAGAAGCCUACAGAUCCAGAUGAUCACCUUGCUGAUAAGAAUAUUAAAGACUGAAUCCAAUAUUAUGGAAUCAAUGACCCCGGAGCAGAUAAGCCUCUAAAGCAGGCUUCACCAUACCUUGUCUGGAUCCACCAGAGGACAAGGUUAUCACCACACUCUAUGUUGGUGAUCUCGGUGAUGCCAUUACUGAGACAGAUCUAAAUAAUCAUUUCUAAUUAUUUGACGAUCUGAAUGAUCACUGUUGUGCAGACAGUAGAGUGCUUUCCAUCCAGGUUUCCACAGGGCAGGCUGCAGAAGUGGCUGCUGAGAAAUCCUUUAAUAAGUUGAUUGUCAAGGGCUGCAGACUCGGUAGAAAACGGAGAGGAUCCCAAGCAGCCAGAGGAAAAGAAAAAGGACAGAACCGCAGGCUGGGAUCCAGCUAACGCCUAUUCCAGCACUGCCAGGAACAGGAACUCUUCCUCCUCCUGCAGCAGCAGCAGAUGUAUCUGCCAACCACAGCAACAUACCCCCACGUGCUCCUCCAGCUGUGGUGAGCAUUGCCUGGCCACCAGCCCCUGGCGUGUCCUGCUGCUCCCCCCAGGAUUUCAGCCACCCAUGUUCCAUCCAAUGGGACCAUUGCCUUCCUUUUGAGAGGACUCUAGGAUCAAUCCAUUGUGUUGGAUCCUGUGUUGGACUCCAGGAUCAAUCCAUCUGAGGACCCCCAGAGGAUGGGAGCUUGUUCUGGAAAUCACAGCAGCCCCUGUCAUAUUUUCACCACCCUGUGGUUCUAUGGAAGAAGCAUCACUUUAAAAUCUCAAUUAAUGAACAUUGGAGGAAAUAUUUUUUUCUUUCUUUGUGGUUCCCAGUGCACCUGAAUGUGGUCACAUAUGGGCAUGCUUUUUCAUAUGGAUUCAAAGGAUCAAUGGAGCUCAAAUAAGCUGUCAUUAAAACAUCUGUUUACUAUGACUGUAACAUGACUAAUAAAACCUACUGCCUGUUCCUCUCACCUCUAUGGGGGAUGAGUGGCUGAGUGAGUUAUAGAAUGUCCAAUGGAGUUAGCAGUCCAAUCAUAUAAUCAUUUUGUCUCUUUUUAUGACUGUGGAAAUAGACCUGAGGGGAAAAAAAAACCUUUUGAACAUGUUUG